This 248-nucleotide unclassified non-coding RNA is filed under the name fungal sp. RNAcentral's name for it is "partial contains small subunit ribosomal RNA, internal transcribed spacer 1, and 5.8S ribosomal RNA". The stretch from base 1 to 46 matches the Rfam family "Eukaryotic small subunit ribosomal RNA", at positions 1786 to 1831 of the family's 1831-position model. The record is from RNAcentral. Lineage: Eukaryota; Fungi. RNAcentral also lists the same sequence under 2 other names.
AAGUCGUAACAAGGUUUCCGUAGGUGAACCUGCGGAAGGAUCAUUACCGAAGUACAGGCCCUCUCGUAGGGCUAAACUUCCACCCUUUGUGAACUACACUUUGUUGCUUUGGCGAGACGCCCUCGUGGCCACCGGCUCCGGCUGGUGCGCGCUCGCCAGAGAAAACCCAAACCCAAACCAUAUUUAGUGAUUUGUCUGAAAACAAGUUUAAUUAUUUAAAACUUUCAACAACGGAUCUCUUGGCUCUG